This 62-nucleotide transfer RNA is filed under the name bovine gut metagenome. It matches the Rfam family "tRNA", at positions 6 to 65 of the family's 71-position model. From Rfam's summary of the family: Transfer RNA (tRNA) molecules are approximately 80 nucleotides in length. Their secondary structure includes four short double-helical elements and three loops (D, anti-codon, and T loops). The record is from RNAcentral.
CAUAGCUCAAUUGGCAGAGCGCAUGAUUCUGAAUCAUGAGGCUGCAGGUUCGAUCCCUGCUG